RNAcentral lists this transfer RNA (73 nucleotides) under Wolbachia pipientis. RNAcentral's name for it is "tRNA-Val". It matches the Rfam family "tRNA". Rfam says of the family: Transfer RNA (tRNA) molecules are approximately 80 nucleotides in length. The record is from RNAcentral. Lineage: Bacteria; Pseudomonadati; Pseudomonadota; Alphaproteobacteria; Rickettsiales; Anaplasmataceae. RNAcentral also lists the same sequence under 1 other name.
GGGUAAUUAGCUCAGUUGGUAGAGCACUUGUUUGACGUGCAAGCGGUCGCUGGUUCGAACCCAGUGUUACCCA